RNAcentral lists this ribosomal RNA (507 nucleotides) under Cafius quadriimpressus. RNAcentral describes it as "partial 16S ribosomal RNA". It matches the Rfam family "Bacterial large subunit ribosomal RNA", at positions 1819 to 2597 of the family's 2925-position model. The record is from RNAcentral. Lineage: Eukaryota; Metazoa; Arthropoda; Insecta; Coleoptera; Staphylinidae.
GUCUUUUUGUUUAUAAUAUAAAGUCUGACCUGCCCACUGAAUUUUUAAAGGCCGCGGUAUUUUGACCGUGCGAAGGUAGCAUAAUAAUUAGUUUUUUAAUUGAAAGCUGGAAUGAAUGGUUGAACGAGGAAGUGACUGUCUCUAUAUUAAUUUAUUAGAACUUUAUUUUUAAGUCAAAAAGCUUAAAUGAGUUUAAAAGACGAGAAGACCCUAUAGAGUUUAAUAAAAGUGUUUAUUAAGGGUAAUUAGAAUUUUUAACUUUUAAUGGCUGGUUUUAUUUUGUUGGGGCGAUAGGAAAAUUUAAAUAACUUUUCUUAAAUUUUAACAUUGAUUUAUGAGUAUAUGAUCCAUAAUUUAUGAUUAUAAGAUUAAAUUACCUUAGGGAUAACAGCGUAAUUUCUUUAAAGAGUUCUAAUCGAAAAAGAAGUUUGCGACCUCGAUGUUGGAUUAAAAUAAAUGUUUGGUGUAGAAGCUAAGCUAUUAGGUCUGUUCGACCUUUAAAAUUUU